Molecule: ribosomal RNA, 253 nt
Filed under: uncultured bacterium
Lineage: Bacteria
Description: partial 16S ribosomal RNA
Rfam family: Bacterial small subunit ribosomal RNA
Source: RNAcentral
GACAGAGGGUGCAAACGUUGUUCGGAAUUACUGGGCGUAAAGCGCACGUAGGCGGUUUGUCGCGUCUGCCGUGAAAGUCCGGGGCUCAACUCCGGAUCUGCGGUGGGUACGGGCAGACUAGAGUGAUGUAGGGGAGACUGGAAUUCCUGGUGUAGCGGUGAAAUGCGCAGAUAUCAGGAGGAACACCGAUGGCGAAGGCAGGUCUCUGGGCAUUAACUGACGCUGAGGAGCGAAAGCAUGGGGAGCGAACAGG